This 761-nucleotide ribosomal RNA is filed under the name Paramecium bursaria. Its description in RNAcentral is "SSU rRNA". It matches the Rfam family "Eukaryotic small subunit ribosomal RNA", at positions 21 to 836 of the family's 1831-position model. The record is from RNAcentral. Lineage: Eukaryota; Ciliophora; Oligohymenophorea; Peniculida; Parameciidae.
AAGUCAUAUGCUUGUCUUAAAGAUUAAGCCAUGCAUGUCUAAGUAUAAAUAGUAUACAGUGAAACUGCGAAUGGCUCAUUAAAACAGUUAUAGUUUAUUUGAUAAUGAAAUUACAUGGAUAACCGUGGUAAUUCUAGAGCUAAUACAUGCAUAAAAUCCCGACUUACGAAGGGGUGCAUUUAUUAGAUUUAACCAUCACUAGGUGAAUCAUAGUAACUUAUCUGAUCACGCGUCAGCGUGACAAAUCAUUCAAGUUUCUGACCUAUCAGCUUUCGAUGGUAGUGUAUUGGACUACCAUGGCAGUCACGGGUAACGGAGAAUUAGGGUUCGAUUCCGGAGAGGGAGCCUGAGAAACGGCUACCACAUCUAAGGAAGGCAGCAGGCGCGUAAAUUACCCAAUCCCGAUUCGGGGAGGUAGUGACAAGAAAUAACAACUCGGAUGGUUAUCCAUUUCGAGAUUGCAAUGAGAUAAAUCCAAAAACCUAAGCGAUUAUCAAUUGGAGGGCAAGUCUGGUGCCAGCAGCCGCGGUAAUUCCAGCUCCAAUAGCGUAUACUUAAGUUGUUGCAGUUAAAAAGCUCGUAGUUGAAAUUCGGUCAGCCUGGUCCUCACGGACAUCAAUGGCGGAUCUCCGCUUACAAUCUACUCGAGCUUUAAACCUUGAGUUGUAGAGUAGGCAGUUUACCUUGAAAAAAUUAGAGUGUUUCAGGCAGGUUUUCGCCGGAAUACAUUAGCAUGGAAUAAUGGAAUAGGACUUUAGCCU